Molecule: ribosomal RNA, 427 nt
Filed under: uncultured bacterium
Lineage: Bacteria
Description: partial 16S ribosomal RNA
Rfam family: Bacterial small subunit ribosomal RNA
Source: RNAcentral
GUGAGGAAUAUUGCACAAUGGGCGAAAGCCUGAUGCAGCAACGCCGCGUGAGUGAUGAAGGCCUUUGGGUCGUAAAACUCUGUCCUUGGGGAAGAAAAAAAUGACGGUACCCUUGGAGGAAGCCCCGGCUAACUACGUGCCAGCAGCCGCGGUAAUACGUAGGGGGCAAGCGUUAUCCGGAAUUAUUGGGCGUAAAGAGUGCGUAGGUGGUUUUGUAAGCGUAGGGUGAAAGGCAGUAGCUCAACUAUUGUUAGCCCUGCGAACUGUGAGACUUGAGUGCAGGAGAGGAAAGUGGAAUUCCUAGUGUAGCGGUGAAAUGCGUAGAUAUUAGGAGGAACACCAGUGGCGAAGGCGACUUUCUGGACUGUAACUGACACUGAGGCACGAAAGCGUGGGUAGCAAACAGGAUUAGAAACCCCUGUAGUCC